RNAcentral lists this ribosomal RNA (497 nucleotides) under uncultured bacterium. Its description in RNAcentral is "partial 16S ribosomal RNA". It matches the Rfam family "Bacterial small subunit ribosomal RNA", at positions 28 to 507 of the family's 1533-position model. The record is from RNAcentral.
GAUGAACGCUGGCGGCGUGCCUAAUACAUGCAAGUCGAGCGAACAGAUGAGGAUCUUGCUCCUCGGACGUUAGCGGCGGGCGGGUGAGUAACACGUGGAUAACCUACCUAUAAGGCUGGGAUAACUUCGGGAAACUGGAGCUAAUACCGGACAAUAUAUUGAACGGCAUGGAUCAAAAGUGAACGACGGUUUUGCUGGCACUUAUAGAUGGAUCCAUGCCGGAUUAGCUAGUUGGUACGGUAACGGCUUACCAAGGCAACGAUGCGUAGCCGACCUGAGAGGACGACCAGCCACACUGGGACUGAGACACGGCCCAGACUCCUACGGGAGGCAGCAGUAGGGAAUCUUGCACAAUGGGCGCAAGCCUGACCCAGCAACGCCGCGUGCGUGAAGAAGGUCUUCGGAUCGUAAAACUCUUUUGUUAGGGAAGAAAAAAUGUGUAAUAAUCUCCGGACGGCAUGACGGUACCUGAAGAGAAAGCAACGGCUAACUACGUG